RNAcentral lists this ribosomal RNA (433 nucleotides) under uncultured bacterium. Its description in RNAcentral is "partial 16S ribosomal RNA". It matches the Rfam family "Bacterial small subunit ribosomal RNA", at positions 29 to 507 of the family's 1533-position model. The record is from RNAcentral.
AACGAACGCUGGCGGCAUGCCUAACACAUGCAAGUCGAACGAUCCCUUCGGGGAUAGUGGCGCACGGGUGCGUAACGCGUGGGAACCUGCCCUUAGGUUCGGAAUAACUCAGAGAAAUUUGAGCUAAUACCGGAUAAUGUCUUCAGACCAAAGAUUUAUCGCCUUUGGAUGGGCCCGCGUUGGAUUAGCUAGUUGGUGGGGUAAAGGCCUACCAAGGCGACGAUCCAUAGCUGGUCUGAGAGGAUGAUCAGCCACACUGGGACUGAGACACGGCCCAGACUCCUACGGGAAGCAGCAGUGGGGAAUAUUGGACAAUGGGCGAAAGCCUGAUCCAGCAAUGCCGCGUGAGUGAUGAAGGCCUUAGGGUUGUAAAGCUCUUUUACCCGGGAUGAUAAUGACAGUACCGGGAGAAUAAGCCCCGGCUAACUCCGUG